GUGACUUAAGCCUAUCCUCAGGAGCGGGACUCGGCAGGUGUGAAAAAGAGCAUGGCCCGGGACACUGCGCAUGUGCCGCCUCAGGUCGCUGCGCGCUGAGCUUCAGUUCGCAGUCUUGGGCGAGCGCGUCUGCUGAGGGGAGCUGACUCCUUUCAUCUUAGCUGCAGAAAUCACCCAAGGUGCUGCAGCUUCUCUCUGGCUUGCUUUGAGCCGCCUGCGGGCGAUACCCGGUUAACUGAUGAGUGCUCUGCUCAUCUUAUCGCUUCCAUCUCUUGGCGCGCCUCCAUCAUGCCUAGCCCGUCUGACUGCUAGAUGAAUUCACAAAUCACUGUUGCCAGCAAGCUUUCUUUUUGCAGGCCGUCUUCCUAACGGGCUCCUGAGCUCUGUGGGCUGAGGAGAGGCUCCGCCAGGCUUUCUAGAGUCACAGUUGAGACCCUGUCCUCUCUGAUGACUCCAGCUUGUGUCAAGUUGACAUAGACCAGUCAGGACAACAGACAUGUACUGUCGCCUCUGCGUUUGACCUGGUGUGUCCUGACUACUCUUGGAAGGCUUUGGUAAGCCUGACAGAUGUCCAAUUUCCACCAACCCUGCGCCUGAAAAUGACCUAAAGGUAGCACCUGAGCCGGGAGGCACAGACCUGCAAUCCUUUCUCAAGAGGCUGAAGCAGGAGGGCCCCAAGUUCAAGCCCAGCCUAGAAAACUUAGUAUUUUGUUACAGCAGCAAGAAUGACAGCUAACAGAGCAAUGGGUUCUCUCCUAGUGUCUACAGCACAGUUCAUCAGAAUGACAGCUAACAGAGCAAUGGGUCCUCCCCAGUGUCUACAGUACAGUUCAUCAGAAUGACAGCUAACAGAGCAAUGGGUCCUCCCCAGUGUCUACAGCCAGUCUGUGUUCAAGCCCUGGCAUCCACAUCUAAAGCCUGUGCAACUGUUAUCUCAACACCCCUAAAAUUGAACUUCAUGUGAAUGAAGAGAGAGAGAGAGAGAGAGAGAGAGAGAGAGAGAGAGAGAGAGAGAACAGGAAGAAGGGAAGGCAGAUGCUAGGGGGAUAAUGCAUCGCUCCCACAGACACACCCAAGGACUUGCUUCCUUUUUAAUGUAUGCAUGCAUACCCUAUGCAGCACGAGGUAACUCUAUUCCUUACCCAGCCUGAACUGGCUUCAGGCUGUGGCUCCUCUCUCCUGUACACCAGGAAUGGAUUGGCUGAUUCUGGCAUGAAAGGAGGGUCCACUCAACAGAAGGAGCAAGUCCAAAAUUCAAGCUCCCAAGGAUGGAACUGGACUUGACCAAGAUUCUUAACUGCCACCAAGCAAAGGAAGUUGAGGCCCCAGGAGGAAGCAGACCAAGAAUGAAGGAUCACAGGCUCCAGGUCGAAGUUCAUAUCCUGACCUUGAUACCCAUAAAUCACGACCUUGGGCAGGCACUCGGAUCCUUUCUCUGAGUCUCUAUUGUCCUAACUCAACCGAGGAUAAUGAUCUUCCAUACAGCUGGCUAUUUAGGUUCCAGGAGACACAGGGCCUCUGGUGUAGUGCUGAGUGGACCGCCAAGGGCUCAAGGAACAAGCCUAUAUUUAUGCAUUCAUGCACGGUUAUUUGCAUUAUUAUUACUAUACUCCUUGUAUUGUUUGUGCUUAUCUCUCUGGCAUCUAAGAUGGUGCCUGGAACACAGUAGCUUGAUAAUUAUGUGCUGAGUGAACAAGUGACCUCAGAACAGGUUUAGCUGCAGGUAGCCAGUAAGGGAGCAGAUCCCCAGAACCCCUGAGGUAGGCUUGACUCACCCCUACUUGUCUAAGCCAUCCUGAUGACCCUCAUGAUAAAUAAACAAGAUAAUCGGGAAUGUA
Non-coding RNA from Peromyscus maniculatus bairdii (prairie deer mouse), 1838 nucleotides. NCBI's taxonomy places the organism in Eukaryota, Metazoa, Chordata, Mammalia, Rodentia, Cricetidae. The record is from RefSeq and is a predicted model, not a curated record.